CUUCAUAAACAAGGUUUCACAUCAUUCCAAACUAUUUUUUAGGGUAUAAGGUGGCAAAAGAUAUUAUUUGAGUACUCCAGUGAUGUUUCCAGUACCACAUCAUCAUUCACUCACUGGAAUAGCAGGUGUGAGACUGAGGAGGCUUCACUGGUGCUGAUGCCAUGAAUGGAGAAAGACGCUGCUGGAUAAUUCAAGCAAGGGAGGAGUCUGAGCAGUGGUAAUAUACACUGGCCAUUGUGCAUUCAGCCCUCACAUACAGAAAAUACUGAAUUCUAGCCAAGAAGGACAGAGUAUUUUGCUUCGUUUGUGAACAGAAGAGCAUUGCCUGGAGGACUUCCUCGUUAAUGCCAAUAAAAGCAGAAGCCAGACAAGCUUGCCUGACCGCACUUCCCAGCUGUAAGGAGUGGAUUCCAUCUGACUAUUAAACAGAACUCCAUUUCCAAAUGGAUCUAUAAAAGGCAUGAUGAGGUAGCCAGAAUGGAUUCCCCGCACUUAUUAGACUAUACUCUGCAGAGUAUAAGUGGCAUCCUGAAAUACGUGUCCAUCAGAGAUGCGAAUUCUGGCUGCUGUUUUUAGACUACUUGUAUGUUUGUUCACAAGACCUAUUUGGAGCCCCCUAAGCAGACUCUGCAUUCAUCAAAGUCAUGCUUCUAUUGCUGUUUGUCCAGGAUUCUUGUAUCUACCUUUGCAUUGAACUAAAUCUUGCUUUUGAGGUGCCUACACUGGAAUAUGGAUAUGGAAUAUUUGUAAAUGGGAGAAGAAAAUUACAUGAGUCACGUGAAGAAUGUAUCAUAUAUCACCUUCCACCACCUUUCUUGAUAUCUGGCACAUCUGAAACUUUACAGUUGAAAAGAAAUGAAAAAAGUAGAAAAACUGAUUGCCUUGAUGCAAAGCAUGGAGAACUGCAGCACACACCACUGCAGGCACUGCCAGGCAAGAUCUGAGCUCAGAAGAACACAACCUGCGUACUGGUGAUGUGCAUAUCUGUACAAGCUCCUCUGGAAGAAGUCUAGCUGCUGCUUGUUAAGCAGCUUCUUUUUUUCCUGACGCUCACUGGAAGGAAGCUGUAUAGCUUGGGAGCCUGGACCUUAACUAUUUACUUGCCAUCUUUUAUUAGAAGAGUGAAUCCAGGAUGUCCACUUCUAAAGGACACAGGUCUUUCUAGAAAGGAUAUACAGCUCUCCAUGUUAGUGAAUUUCAAGGAUUCUUGCUGUUGGCUGGCAGCACCUUUCACCACCUUUAUCAGUAACAGGUAGGAGGAGCAUUAUUAUCUCCCUAUAAACUGUAUUCUACUGUAUCUUAGGUGAAGUGUUCUUUCUGUGCACAUCUGUGUUGGAUCAUUUGCCAUAUUGAACUUGGCUGGCAGCCUUAAGGUCAUGGCUGUGUGCUAAGAUUGCCUUCAAUCUGUUCAGUGAAGCAAGUAAAACAGAUGUGUUCAUGGUUCCUGAAUACUAUGGUGACUAGUGAGUGUUGGAAAUAGUGGGAAAAGGAAUGACAGUGAAUGACAUGAUUGACCUGAAGUUAUCAGGAUUGAGUCUGGGAAAACAGAAUUUUGAAAAGCACUGUAUGAUAAGAUUAAAGUAGUUUAUAAAGAAACUAAAAUUAAUUUAAUUCUAAAUAACAUCUUAAAUUGAUACGUCUUUUCUUCUGUUUCCAAAUUUUCAUAGAAAUGAUUCCUAACAUCUGGUCUUAGUCUAGAGAAUUUAAGUGAGAUUCUUUGCACAACUACAUUGUUUUCUUAUGAAUUUCAUUUGCAAAAAUUUCUUAAAGAAUGCUGAGAGGUUGAGAUGGACAUGUUGGCAUUGCAUCUGUAAACAGAAUCUCGUGUUGGAUUUCAAAUCUUGGUCUUGGUUGCUUUUCAAUGCAUUGGGUCUGUAGCUGUGAAACAAUCAUAGCAUGUUACUGGGUCUUGCAACAAUGGUGACAAUGGCAGACAAAUUCUGGUGCAAGCACAGGAACAGGAAGUGCGUGCAUAGAGCUAGAGCAAGAUUUAAAGUCACAUAAGGAGAUAUGAUGACUUUCAAGUUUGAUGGGAAUAAUGAGAGUAACUGGAAGAGACUGGGAAACAGGAAUUUUGACAUCUUUGGCAUAUGUUGUUAGCUGAUGUUGUCUUCCAUUUAGAAAGGAAGAAUGCUUCAGAAAUCACGGCAAAUCUGAUUUUAUUUUUUAAUUUCCAGAUUUACAAAUAAAAAACUCUAACCU
Long non-coding RNA from Cygnus olor (mute swan), 2202 nucleotides. RefSeq lists it as uncharacterized. Lineage: Eukaryota; Metazoa; Chordata; Aves; Anseriformes; Anatidae. The transcript has 4 exons. The record is from RefSeq and is a predicted model, not a curated record.